UACGGGGGGGGCAAGCGUUGUUCGGAUUUACUGGGCGUAAAGGGAGUGUAGGCGGUUGGUCAAGUCGGAUGUGAAAGCUUCACCACUCAACGGGAAGAGGUCAUCCGAAACUGGCCGGCUAGAGUAGGGUAGAGGCAAGCGGAAUUCCCGGUGUAGCAGUGAAAUGCGUAGAGAUCGGGAGGAACAUCUGUGGCGAAGGCGACUGCCUGGACCAGCACUGACACUGAGGCACGAAAGCGUGGGGAGCAAACAGG
Molecule: ribosomal RNA, 254 nt
Filed under: uncultured bacterium
Lineage: Bacteria
Description: partial 16S ribosomal RNA
Rfam family: Bacterial small subunit ribosomal RNA
Source: RNAcentral